UAGUGAACCAGUACCGUGAGGGAAAGGCGAAAAGAACCCCGGCGAGGGGAGUGAAAAAGAACCUGAAACCGUGUACGUACAAGCAGUGGGAGCCCCACCACUAAGCCAGUGGUGAACUCCACAUACGCAUCCUUUGCUGAGGAUACGGUUAACGGAGCGCAAGCGACGUUCAACCUCAAAAGAAGCAGAGGGGGCUUAGUGGUGGGGUGACUGCGUACCUUUUGUAUAAUGGGUCAGCGACUUAUAUUCUGUAGCAAGGUUAACCGUAUAGGGGAGCCGGAGGGAAACCGAGUCUUAACCGGGCGUUAAGUUGCAGGGUAUAGACCCGAAACCCGGUGAUCUAGCCAUGGGCAGGUUGAAGGUUGGGUAACACUAACUGGAGGACCGAACCGA
Molecule: ribosomal RNA, 393 nt
Filed under: Salmonella enterica subsp. enterica
Lineage: Bacteria; Pseudomonadati; Pseudomonadota; Gammaproteobacteria; Enterobacterales; Enterobacteriaceae
Description: partial 23S ribosomal RNA
Rfam family: Bacterial large subunit ribosomal RNA
Source: RNAcentral